This 460-nucleotide ribosomal RNA is filed under the name uncultured bacterium. RNAcentral's name for it is "partial 16S ribosomal RNA". It matches the Rfam family "Bacterial small subunit ribosomal RNA", at positions 338 to 795 of the family's 1533-position model. The record is from RNAcentral.
CCUACGGGAGGCAGCAGUGAGGAAUAUUGGUCAAUGGACGGAAGUCUGAACCAGCCAAGCCGCGUGCAGGAAGACGGCUCUAUGAGUUGUAAACUGCUUUUGUACAAGGGUAAACCUGAAUACGUGUAUUCAGAUGAAAGUACUGUACGAAUAAGGAUCGGCUAACUCCGUGACAGCAGACGCGGUAAUACGGAGGGUCCAAGCGUUAUCCGGAUUUAUUGGGUUUAAAGGGUGCGUAGGCGGAUUCAUAAGUUAGAGGGUAAAUGUCCGAGCUUAACUCGGGAACUGCCUUUCAUACUGGUGAUCUAGAGAGUAGAUGCGGUACGCGGAAUGGAUGGUGUAGCGGUGAAAUGCUUAGAUAUCAUACAGAACACCGAUUGCGAAGGCAGCUUACCAAUCUAUAUCUGACGUUGAGGCACGAAAGCGUGGGGAGCAAACAGGAUUAGAUACCCUUGUAGUC